Anabas testudineus (climbing perch) is the source of this 68-nucleotide small nucleolar RNA. NCBI's taxonomy places the organism in Eukaryota, Metazoa, Chordata, Actinopteri, Anabantiformes, Anabantidae. The record is from Ensembl.
UGUGAAUGAUGACAAGUCUUUCCCUGACCUCACUGUGAGGGUAAAAACUGAUUUAAUGAGCCUGACAC